This 1782-nucleotide unclassified non-coding RNA is filed under the name uncultured fungus. RNAcentral's name for it is "sequence contains 18S rRNA gene, ITS1, 5.8S rRNA gene, ITS2, 28S rRNA gene". The stretch from base 662 to 1782 matches the Rfam family "Eukaryotic large subunit ribosomal RNA", at positions 1 to 961 of the family's 3401-position model. The record is from RNAcentral. Lineage: Eukaryota; Fungi.
GGAAGGAUCAUUAUCAUAUUAUUUCCAAAUUUAAAACCACUUGGUAUUCAAUGUGAUUUAGUUCAUAUUCUUUACCAAGUUGGCACACCAUGUGAACUUUAUAAAGUCCAUAACCCCAUUUUUUUAAACACCAUUUGUUUUAAUCUGUUUGUAGUGUUUGUAAACUCUUCUUCCACCUAUCUUUCUCUCAUACGUGAGGAAAAGGUAGAUGGAUCAAGAAACACAAAUGAAAAAUCUAUAUACAAUCUUUAACGAUGGAUAUCUCGGCUCGUGUAACGAUGAAGAGCGCAGCAAAGUGCGAUAACUAGUGUGAAUUGCAGAAUUCUGUGAAUCAUCGAACUCUUGAACGCAUCCUGCGCCUGAGGGCUAUCCCUCAGGCACACUUGUUUGAGUGUCGACUCAUUCUCUAUUCUUCAAACUUCUCUUCCCUUUAACUUUUAGAGGGAUUACUAGUUCUGAAGAGACUUGACAGUGUUGAAUGCAAAUUCUUCUCUGUUUAAAUGUAUGGGCUGGUCACUUCUAUUUCAUAGUCAGUGAUUUAAACUUCUAGGUUCAGGGGUCUUUUUUGACUCAAGUCCUAGAGGCACUUUCUACUUGAAAUAAGUGAUUUCAGAACAAAAAAGGAAAAUAGAUGACUAACAAUCAUCAAAUAAAACAAAUUCGACCUCAAAUCAAGUGGGACUACCCCCUGAAUUUAAGCAUAUAAUUAAGGGGAGGAAAAGAAAGUAACCACGAUUCCCUCAGUAAAGGCGAUUGAACAGGGAAGAGCUCAAUCCGAAUCUGGCUGGUCUCCAGCCUGAAUUGUAGUUUUGUGAGUACUUAUAGGGGAAGGUCUUGGUUUAAGUUGCCUGGAAAGGUACGCCAUAGAGGGUGACAGCCCCGUUUACAACCGAGAAUCCUUUUCCAUACGUAAGUGCUUCGUAGAGUCGGACUAUUUGAUAGUAUAGUCCUAAGCGUGAGGUAAGUUCCUCAUAAAGCUAAAUACUGACGCGAGACCGAUAGCGAACAAGUACCGUGAGGGAAAGAUGCAAAGAACUUUGAAAAGAGAGUUAAAAGUACUUGAAAUCGUUAGAGAGGAAGCGGUUGGAACCAGUGAUUGUUUGAGGUUGAUUCGCGAUCGGAAGGUGCAUCCGCCGUGCAGUAAGAGUUUCCAAUUGGGGACCUUUCUGUAUGGAAGAUGAAACUGCCGGUUGUUACUUUGAUCUCGACGGAUCAGUAUCUAUGGGCUUCGGAAUGGAAUGGGUUGGAGGAGGUAGCUUGGGGUUCUCUCCGAGUGUUUAACUCUGAUCAGAUGUUCUGAAGAUCCUAUAGAGGUCACAAAGUGGGGCUUGCGGGGUAGGUGGAUCCCUGAUGGGAUAUAGUAUGGGAGACUGUCUAACAGUGUCUUGUAUUAUAUUCUGUUAUCGGGUUCAUCCCACGUACCACUUGAUGAUACUGGUGAAAUGGUUCCUACCGACCCGUCUUGAAACACGGACCAAGGAGUCUAACAUAUGUGCGAGUCACUGAGUGGUAAACUUAGGGGCGUAAUGAAAGUGAAUUGAGGUGCCAUUCUUGGGUCUAGGCCCCGGAAGCAGCAUCGACCGAUCCAAUUUCCCUCCGUGGAAAUAGAUUUGAGUAAGAGCAUAUCUGUUGGGACCCGAAAGAUGGUGAACUAUGCCUGCAUAGGGUGAGGCCAGAAGAAAUUCUGGUGGAGGCUCGUAGCGAUACUGACGUGCAAAUCGUUCGUCAAAUGUGGGUAUAGCGGCGAAAGACUAAUCGAACCGUCUAGUAGCUGGUUUCCUC